UACGCAGGGAGCAAGCGUUGUCCGGAAUCAUUGGGCGUAAAGCGCGCGUAGGUGGCUUCGUAAGUCCGUUGUGAAAGUCAAAGGCUCAACCUUUGAAAGCCGAUGGAUACUGCGGAGCUAGAGUACGGAAGAGGCGAGUGGAAUUCCUGGUGUAGCGGUGGAAUGCGCAGAUAUCAGGAGGAACACCAAUAGCGAAGGCAGCUCGCUGGGACGUUACUGACACUGAGGCGCGAAAGCGUGGGGAGCAAACAGG
Molecule: ribosomal RNA, 253 nt
Filed under: uncultured bacterium
Lineage: Bacteria
Description: partial 16S ribosomal RNA
Rfam family: Bacterial small subunit ribosomal RNA
Source: RNAcentral